GGGGGGGGGGGGUCCUUUUCAGGUCACCACCACUUCCCAUUUCUGCUCAGGUUGCUCAGGAAACACGUGCCCGAACGCGUGGAGGCCUGCUGCUGCCAGCCAGAAGAUACCCGGACCGCAGAGGACGAGUAGUGUGUGUGUGUGUGUGUGUGUGUGUGUGUGUGUGUGUGUGUGUGUGUGUGUGUGUGUGUGUGUGUGUGUGCCACAAUUUAUCUGAGGUUCACUGCACUUCCUCGUGUCUUACAAGGGAACCUUCUGUUACCGGCACGGGACUCCGGCAGAUGGCUGCCGGGACGUUGCUCCUGUAAACAUAAAAACACUGAGAAAACAUGGACAAACAACCGUUUUCAUACUUUGUGGGAUUGUUAAAGUUUCGAAGGGUUUUUCCCUCAUAGCUUGUAAAAAUAACUCAUUUGUUUGGUUACAUUGACUAAAUGUCCUUUUGAUGAGAAGGUGGUGUUGAUUAAACUUACCAUCAAGGCUUGAACAGAUCGUUCAAUAAAGGAAAUAAAAAAAACAUUUCAGAACUUUCCGAUGACUUAAGGAGCAAAAGUUCUGGACGGGGCUUACUGUGAUUGACAGGUCUCCACCACAGUGUUGUGGUGUCUGGGAGUUGUUUGUGUUUUGGUCUGAAACUUUCGCGGCGUGUUUUCAUUUCCGGUAAGUUUAUCGUAACAUUUUGGUUGCCUGAGAUAUUGUGCAUUCAGUUUAUCUCAACUUACCCUACAAACCAAUGGGUGAUGUCACAACGACAUCUUCCGAUAUAAAGUCCACAACCAGACCAAUUUCAAAAUACCACUCCUGAGGGUAGUGCUGUAGAACGUGACCUUUGCUGCUGCCUAGUAUGAGCAAUUACACAUACUGUUUUCCAGCACAUCACAGCGCCGAAGCAGCACCGUUGAGGUCACCAAUGACCUCCUCGGUGCAGCCAAUAUUGGUUACUCCUUUUGCUACACAGUUGCUUUGCAGACAGGACCUUCUUUGUUACUGGUGGCAAUUCAUCCUCCACCCUGGUAUCUCUCACGAGGCGUCCCUCAGGGCUCAACCGCCGGUCCCCUUCUAUUUUCUAUCCAAAAAUGUUUGUUUGGCCAAAUUAUUCAGAACCACAACAUCCCAUUUCACCGCAACCCAUGUGGAACAAAGCUACCGUCCAUUGAUAAUAAAGAAUGGUCACAAUGUGAGACAAACAAAACAAAGGUCACAUAGUCACUCCCAGAAAUAAACUCCUCCAGCAGCUUGCCCAGUCCCUCAACUAAUUAUGCCAUCACAUUGAAUAAUAUUCAACAGUACUUGGCCAAAUAUUUAGCUAUGCAAACGUACAAGAAGGGGUCACAUUCCCCCCCGCACUAAGCAUCUUUGUGGCGGCCCCCAGUUCGGUGUCAGAUUCCUUGCAGCAUUCUGCUGUUUGUGUUUCUAGGCCUGCAUGGUCUUGUCCCGAGCUACAUUUUGAUUCUCAGCUCAGAUCACAUCGCUCAGAUCCACGGCUCAACGGCUGUCCUCCCACAAUCCAGUCCAACACGUUUUGUGAGAAAGGCAUCUAAUGUUGACCUGCUUGCGUGCUCAUGUAAUGACUCUCGAUGUUUGAUAUGCAUACAGAAUUACUUUCUGUACCGUGUCGAUGUUUAAAGAUGUGAAUUAAAUACUUUUGUCAUGCGAUAAGGUUUUGCUUAAUUAUGCUUAUGUAGGUAAUGGUUGCUUCACAAAUGUUGCCCAUAAGCUGCAGCCAGCAGCCAGUUAGCUUAGCUUAGCACAAAAACUAGACCAGGGAGGAAAACUUCUGUCAUAUUGAAAGUGUCAGAUCUUCCCCGGUUUUGAACCCAAACGCAGAUUAAACAAGAUUGGUGGUGACAAGGUGAGUAAAUACACAAAUGUCUCUGAGAUGGCGUCCCAGACAGGUGAGUGCAGGAGGCUUGACGAAGCGAUGGGGUGGAAGGUUCCGGUUGCCAGGCAGGAGUGAAGGGAAAUCCAGGGUGAACGGCAGAGCAAUAGGAAACGGAUGAGCUAACAGGCAAAUGGACUUAAACUAUCGCGGCUGACACGCAAGCACAACAUACGGAAUAUGGCUGACGAUCCGGCAGGGACUGGAUGACAGGUCUCGGCUUAAAUAAUGUUCAGAUGAUCAGGACCAGGUGUGUUGGUGAUUUGGAAAAGGUGGGAACAGGCCCCGGUGAUCCUGGAAGUCCCGCCUUGUACUCGUUGCCCAGCAACUGGAACCGCGGUUACGUUCAGGAACGACACAAAGCACAAAGCAGACACAGACAAACAGGGACAACACUCUGAAGGAGAUGGGAUCGUGACAGGAAGGUCGUAAAAUGUUUUUCCCAGCAUCUGCAAAGCUCACUAAAUAAUAUCUGUUUCAUUUAAUCUGUACAAAAAGCUGCCCCUCCAGGAAGUUGUUGGCCCCGAGCAAAGACUGUGGUCUUAUAACUGUUCUCAGUGUGCGAAGCUCCUAUAGCUCCAGAAAUGAGAGACGCAUUGUUCCUUAUUUCUCAAGCAAAUAAGUGUCCAAAAUAAUUUGGGGAUCUAGUGAGUACGGAAGCGGGAUGAAUUUCUUUCCUUCAUUUCAUUUCAUAAAAAGGCAAUACAGCUUACAGUCACAUGAACAGUCUGACAGAGCUCCUCGUGAGACCCUGUCCAUAUCUCCUGGGACAUUAAUUCAGCUUUAACAUGAGAGCUACCAAAAGUCCACUGGUAGUCAACGUGUUUCAUAGCUUAUAGCCAAAGACAGCGCUGGGGUUCUUGUAUGGAUGUUUGGUGUUCAUCAUAUGUAUAUAUUCUUCAACAUCUGAGACAACCCCCGACCCCGGACUCUGAUGGGACCAUAGAAUGUGGACUCUGAUGGGACCAGAGGGGGUGGACUCUGAUGGGACCAGAGGAGGUGGACUCUGAUGGGACCAGAGAACGUGGACUCUGAUGGACCAGAGAACGUGGACUCUGAUGGGACCAGAGAACGUGGACUCUGAUGGGACCAGAUGAGGUGGACUCUGAUGGGACCAGAGGGGGUGGACUCUGAUGGGACCAGAGGAGGUGGACUCUGAUGGGACCAGAGGAGGUGGACUCUGAUGGGACUAGAGGAGGUGGACUCUGAUGGGACCAGAAGGGGUGGACUCUGAUGGGACCAGAUGAGGUGGACUCUGAUGGGACCAGAGGGGGUGGACUCCUCUGUCACAGUUCACAGAAAAAGUUUUCCUCAGAUAUUUGUCGGCCAUAUUUUCAAUUAUCAUUAUUUGCUGUUUACGUUCCUUGUGACGCAAAUAAAAAAUAAUGCACAACAGGAAUCUACCAGUGUGUUUCUUGCCAUGUGUUUUAUCUGCCCCUAAACAUCAUUGUGUCCCCGUUUUGCAUAAUAAGAAUAAAUGACCUGCGUUAUCUGCUUACUUUCAGCUGAAACCAAGUGAAGCGAUAAGGCAACCCUUCAGAAACACAAAAACAAUACUGAGCUUCCUAACCGACCUUGACACAGGAGAUAACAGAAAUGAAAGUAAAGUAAAUGGCAGAAAACCUCAACACCUCUCGUAACUCACAAUCAUAAUGAGAUAUUAUCUCAUAGUUAUGACUAAAGGAUCUUUUUGGCCUUGUACUACUAACCCAUAGCAUUCUUUUUUUAUUUUAUUCCUCUUGCACUGUAUGUCUGACGUAUUAUGGCAAUAAAUGUUUCCUGAUCCUGAGAACAUGCAAAGAGGCAGCAAUUAGUGCAUAAUUCAUGUGCGAGGAAAGCGUGAUAUUGCACCAUACAUCCAUCUUUAUUAUGUGUAAUUUGCGAUUCAUUGUAUUCUAAGUAGUGGGUUUUAAUCAAAGAUACUUUAAUAAGCUAUUGAGCAAUGCAAUGAGCAGGUCACCCCAGGGCCAGGAAUAUAUCUAUAUUAAUAUUUAAAAUAAGCUGAAUAAGAAAUAGGCCCUGGACCGGUUUUAUAAGGAAUGCAGUGUGUGUGUGUGUGUGUGUGUGUGUGUGUGUGUGUGUGUGUGUGUGUGUGUGUGUGUGUGUGUGUGUGUGUGUGUGCAGACCUUUUGUAAGGGUAACAGAGCUGUGAACCACCUCGUGCAGUGCAGGUAAUCAUUAAUCUGACACGUCAUCUCGGGCUUGAUGGCACAUUG
This is a long non-coding RNA of Gasterosteus aculeatus aculeatus (three-spined stickleback), 4095 nucleotides long. The record is from Ensembl. NCBI's taxonomy places the organism in Eukaryota, Metazoa, Chordata, Actinopteri, Perciformes, Gasterosteidae.